UUUUAUUUAGUUGUCUCAUUUUUAUUUUUAUUUUAAUGAUUGAUAAUUCUAAUAAAAAUAAUGACUAUGUAAUAACCAACCAAUAUAACUAUUUUUAGUCCUUAUGCAUACUAACUCAAAAAAUAUUUUUUAUAUACUUUUGAAUGUUCUAAUGUGGUUUAAUUAAGCCUUACUGAAAGUUAAGUAGGUUUACCGUAACUGACUGUGAC
Molecule: long non-coding RNA, 209 nt
Filed under: Lathyrus oleraceus (garden pea)
Lineage: Eukaryota; Viridiplantae; Streptophyta; Magnoliopsida; Fabales; Fabaceae
Description: Pisum sativum (pea) long non-coding RNA (PSAT_LNC020055)
Source: RNAcentral